Molecule: long non-coding RNA, 904 nt
Organism: Asterias rubens (European starfish)
Lineage: Eukaryota; Metazoa; Echinodermata; Asteroidea; Forcipulatida; Asteriidae
Exons: 6
Source: RefSeq, a predicted model, not a curated record
UCACAACUAUCAAGUGGUACACGAUGAUCGACAUCGCCAGUGCAGGACUUCGACAUUUUUUCGGAUAUAAUUUCUUCCAUGGAUAUAUUUGUUAGCUGUGAACUCGUUGAGAAUAUAGUGAGGGACACUGUGAAUAUAUGAACGGAAUUUCAGCUUCUCAAAUCAGAAAGCAUUGCGAAAGUUCCGUUGGUUAUUGCCGUGAUGGUGUGUGUACGUCGUGUAGCUAGGACGGUGGUUAACAAAAACACAACCACUAGAACUCGCAUUUUUCAAGCAUUUUCAAUAUUUAAAGACCUGAAGUCCCAUCCACUAUUCCACACAAUCGACUGGAAGCGAAUCAGGGAGACAGAAGCCCCUUUCAUCCCAGCCCCAGAUAACAGAACGGACACCACUUAUUUUGACGCUCGGAACAACAUGCAGCAUCUCCAGAUGUCUUCUUUUGCACUUUGACCUCUUGAAUGAUAGUGCAAUCCACAACUCAUCAACAGAAGUAAUGAAACUAUUCCAGGAUGGUGGUCAACUUGGUCCAGUGGUUAGACUGCAGGACUUGCAAUCACAAGCUCGGAACAACAUGCAGCAUCUCCAGAUGUCUUCUUUUGAACUUUGACCUCUUGAAUGAUAGUGCAAUCCACAACUCAUCAACAGAAGUAAUGAAACUAUUCCAGGAUGGUGGUCAACUUGGUCCAGUGGUUAGACUGCAGGACUUGCAAUCACAAGCUCGGAACAACAUGCAGCAUCUCCAGAUGUCUUCUUUUGCACUUUGACCUCUUGAAUGAUAGUGCAAUCCACAACUCAUCAACAGAAGUAAUGAAACUAUUCCAGGAUGGUGGUCAACUUGGUCCAGUGGUUAGACUGCAGGACUUGCAAUCACAAGGUUGUAGGUUUGAAUCCUAAAGCUAACUGU